RNAcentral lists this small RNA (2839 nucleotides) under Pan troglodytes (chimpanzee). Its description in RNAcentral is "retained intron". The record is from RNAcentral. Lineage: Eukaryota; Metazoa; Chordata; Mammalia; Primates; Hominidae.
GAAGGUUGCUGGAGUCAACAAAGCGCCGUCUGUCAUCACCCACACGGCCUCUGCCACCCUCACCCACGAUGCCCCCGCCACCACCUUCAGCCAGAGUCAGGGCCUUGUGAUCACCACCCAUCACCCUGCCCCGUCAGCGGCCCCUUGUGGGCUGGCACUGUCUCCUGUCACCCAGCCUCCCCAGCCACGGUUAACUUUUGUGCACCCCAAACCUGUAUCCUUGACUGGGGGCAGGCCUAAGCAGCCCCACAAAAUAGUGCCUGCUCCCAAACCAGAGCCCGUGUCCUUGGUGUUGAAGAAUGCCCGCAUCGCCCCAGCUGCCUUUUCAGGCCAACCACAAGCGGUGAUCAUGACGUCAGGGCCUCUGAAGAGAGAAGGGAUGUUGGCCUCCACCGUGUCCCAGUCCAACGUGGUCAUUGCACCUGCUGCCAUCGCCAGGGCUCCUGGGGUCCCGGAGUUCCACAGCAGCAUCCUGGUGACAGAUCUCGGCCAUGGCACGAGCAGCCCGCCUGCCCCCGUCUCCCGGCUCUUCCCAAGCACAGCGCAAGACCCCCUGGGGAAGGGCGAGCAGGUCCCGCUGCAUGGGGGCAGCCCCCAGGUCACUGUCACAGGGCCCAGUGAGUGUUCACUCGGCGGGAUGGUUGGGGCAUCGCAAGGGAAGUAACUGGGCCUGCCGUAGACCAUGGGGGGUGCUUGCUGGGUCCCCAGGAUGGAGCCUGGGCUUAGGACACACAGUGAGGUCUUGUAGGCCUGCUGAUAACACAGUCUGGGAACACGCUCUGUGGGUGGCAGGAUGAACUGUGGUGGCACUGGCAGGGCAAAAAGUAGUGGGCAUGUGGCAGUGUAGGUGACCCGUGUGCUCGGGGAGUCCCUGCUGACUGCCCACGAAGGCCUGCUACUGAGCUGCUGAUCUCACCCAGAGAAGGGAUUGAGGAGCCCUGGGCUUCCUGUCUCUGGGAGCAUCAGCCUGGGGUUGCUGUGGCCACAGAAGCCGUCCAGCCUCAUCUGGGCACCAACGUGGCCUUCCCCAGCAGGUCUCAGCACUACAGGUCUGUGGCCCAUGUCCACUCUUGGGCCAUCCAGGGGCAAGAUAGUCAGAGCAGGACUGAUUUUGCCCAGGGACAUCUGAGGAGCCAACAGGCCAGAUCAGGGACAAAUGGUGCGCCCGAGGCUGUGCUGCUGGUAGAGGGUGUGGGCAGAUGGGGCCCCUUCCCUCAAAUGCCUGCCAUACCAGGAAGGGAAAUGGAAAUGGCCUCUUUUCUUAAAUAAAUGCAUGGUGUAGGCCAGGCGCAGUGGCUCAUGCCUGUACGCCCAGCACUUUGGGAGGCUAAGGCAGGUGGAUCACUUGAGGUCAGGAGUUCGAGACCAGCCCAGCCAACAUGGUGAAACCUUGUCCCUAUCAAAAAAUAAAAAAAAUUAAAUUUAAUUUAAAAAAAAGCAGGGCUUAGUGGCAUGCACCUGUAGUCCCAGCUACUCAGGAGACCGAGAUGGGAGAAUCACUUGAACCCAGGAGGUGGAGGUUGAAGUGAGCUGAGAUCGAGUCACUGCACUCCAGCCUGGGUGACAGAGCGAGACUCAAUCUCAAACAAACAAAGGCAUGGUGUAGCUGCUCCUGGAACUCUGUGAGCAAACAGUUGUCUCCCUCUUCCCUCAGGAAGACGUGAAUGAGGGAGGGUCUCUGACUUAGUGGGCUCAGCCAGCAGGGGCCUUUUCCAAGGACAGGCUUUGGAGAGUAAGGACUCUUCAGUCUGGAAAGAUAGAAACAAGAGAGUUGGGAGUCAGGCCCCUCAAAUAAUCGAGGGAGAGGUUAGGGCCAACCAUUGCCUUGGUCUCCGGAGUCUCAGAACACAGAACUUAGAGCCUGCUGUACAGCCUCACGGGGAGUUUGGGGAAAAUAAUCCAGCAGAGAGGAAAGGAAGCGGAGGCAUUUGUUACAGUAAAGCAGAAUGGGCCGAGAAGGCCGAGUCCACCUGGGACUGAGCACGGUCACUCACUCCUCUAAUACUAGCACUUUGGGAGGCAGAGGCAGGUGGAUCGCUUGAGCCCAGGAGAUUGAGACCAGCCUAGACAAUAUAGUGAGACCUUGGCUCUAUAAAAAAUUUUUUAAUUAAAAAAUAUAAUAAUAAUAAAGAGCCCACCUGCGAAAUAUCUCCUAAAGCGACACCAGUGACUGGAACGCGUCACACAGGGUUGCUCCAUCGUGUUCUGUGUGGAUUAAGGGUGUUUUUGUUGUUGUUAUUAAUUUAAGAGUUUCAGGGAGUGAAUAAGAAAAAUCUAAGGAAGCAUGUGUGUGCAGUUGAAAGAACCAAGUGCAAUACGUGGCUAGCAGCGAGCACCUCAUAACCCUGCAGAGACCCCAGGCUGCCUCCUGGUGGCGUUGAGGGGCCAGGCCUCCGCCCCUCAGAGGAGUCUGUUCUUACCAGGUCGGGACUGCCCAAACUCAGGGCAGGCCUCUCCGUGUGCAUCGGAGCAGAGCCCCAGUCCUCAGUCUCCCCAGAACAACUGCUCAGGGAAAUCCGACCCCAAAAAUGUGGCUGCACUAAAGCAGAACCGGCAGAUGAAGCACAUCUCAGCUGAGCAGAAAAGGCGCUUCAACAUCAAGAUGUGCUUCGACAUGCUCAACAGCCUCAUCUCCAACAAUUCCAAGCUGGUGAGUUGCCAAGAGCGUGGGCUGUGGCAGGGCAGGGGAGCUGGCAGGACGUGCUCCCUGCGUGGUCAUUGCCGGUGGCAGGCCUGCUGGCUGUGGGUGCUGCCUCCAGCCACCUGCCCCUUCUGCAGACCAGUCACGCCAUCACACUGCAGAAGACCGUGGAGUACAUCACCAAGCUGCAGCAGGAGA